CAGAAAGAAUAAAAAAAUCAAGCACACAAACAUUUACUUAUUUCGAUCUACAUCCACGAGUAAAGACGAAGCGAAAACUUUUAUUAUAACUAAAAUAGUGUACAAUAUAUGCUUCCCUCACAAAAUCCGUUCCAAAAAUAACUCACACUCUUCAUUUUCCACAACAAAUUUAUGGAAUGAAGGGUAUAUUUAUAAUAGUGGUUAAAUCCUAAUAUAACUAAAAAUACAAAUUUACUAAGACAAAGAGUAAUUUAAAUAAAAUUAGGUACAAUUUAAAUUUAACUUAAUAAGAUUACUAAAAUAGAAUAAUUUUAUGAAACUUUAUAUUUUUAGAAUUCGAGACAUAUCUAACAAUAAAAAUGAGAGAGUACACUGCACAAUUA
This 383-nucleotide long non-coding RNA is filed under the name Ananas comosus (pineapple). RNAcentral describes it as "long non-coding RNA (ACOM_LNC042341)". The record is from RNAcentral. Lineage: Eukaryota; Viridiplantae; Streptophyta; Magnoliopsida; Poales; Bromeliaceae.